Molecule: non-coding RNA, 1815 nt
Organism: Gossypium hirsutum (cotton)
Lineage: Eukaryota; Viridiplantae; Streptophyta; Magnoliopsida; Malvales; Malvaceae
Source: Rfam
CCCACUAAGUUUAAGCAUAUUAAUAAGUGAAGGAAAGGAAACUUACCAGGAUUCCCAAAAUAACAAUGAACGAACCGAGAAAAGCCUAGCUUGAGAAUCAGGCACCCGAAUUGUACUCUGAAAAAGUGUCUUUAGCAGCAGACCGGGCCUAAGUCCCUUUGAAAGGGGCAUCGAAGAGAGUGAGAGCCCCAUUAUGCUCGGAGACUGUCGCACUAUAAGGCAUUGUCUACUAGUUGGGUUGUUUGGGAAUACAGCCUUAAUCGGGCGGUAAAUUUCAUCCAAGGCUAAAUACGGGUGAGAGACCGAUAGCGAACAAGUACUGCAAGGGAAAUAUGAAAAGGAAUUUUGAAAAGGGAGUCAAAGAGUGCUUGAAAUGCACCCCAUUCGAGUGUGGAACAGCAAGAGUCAGUCAACCAAUCGGCUCGAGGUGUGGACCGACGAAGGUUGUGGUGGUGGCCCAAUCCCAAGCUUUGAUACGCCCGUAAAGAUGUCGUCGUCUAGAUUGUGGGAUCUGACAUGUUCCGUCUCAAUGUGCUUCGGCAUCUGCGUGCUCCAGACAUUGGCUUAUGGGCUCCCCAUUCAGCCUGUCUUGAAGCAUAGAUCGAGGAGUUUGACAUGUGUGCAAGUCAAUGGGCUAGAAAACCUGUAAGAUACAAGAAAGCUGAUUGGCGAGAUCCCUCGUAGUUGCACCGCCAACCGACCUUGGUCUUCUGAGAAGGGUUCGACUGAGAGCAUGGCUAUCGGGACCCAAAAGAUGGUGAACUAUGCUUGUGUGGGGUGAAGCCAGAGGAAACUCUGGUGGAGGCCUGUAGCGAUACAGACAUGUAAAUCAUUCAUCUGACUUGGUUAUAGGGGUGAAAGACUAAUCGAAUCAUCUAGUAGCUAGUUCUCUUCGAAGUUUCCCUCAGGAUAGUUGGAGCCCUUAGCAAGUUCUAUCGGAUAAAGCCAAUGAUUCGAGGAAUCGGGGGCACAAUGCCUCUGACCUCUUCUCAAACUUUAAAUAGGUAGGACGGCGCGACUGCUUCAUUGAGCCGCGUCACGAAAUUGAGAGCUCUAAGUAGGCAACUUUUUCCAAGUAGAAUUGACGAUACGGGAUGAAUCGAAAGUCGAGUUAUGGUGCCCAACUACGCGCUAACCUAGAACCCACAAAGGGUAUUGGUCGAUUAAGAAGUAGGACAAUAGUCAUGGAAGUCGAAAUUUGCUAAAGAGUGUGUAACAACUCACCUGCUGAAUCAAUUAGCCCCGAAAAUGGAUGGCACUUAAGUGCGUGACCUAUACCCAGCUGUUGAGGCAAGGGCCAGGCACUAAUGAAUGGGAGGGCACGGCGGUCGUUGCAAAACCCGAGGCGUGAGCCCGGGCGGAGCGAUCGUCUGUGCAGGUCAUGGUGGUAGUAGCAAAUAUUCAAAUGAGAACUUUGAAGGCCAAAGAGGGGAAAGGCUUCAUUUGAACGACACUUGCAAUGGGUUAGUCGAUGCUAAAAGACGGGGGAAGCUCGUUCGGUAGCGCGUCCAGUGGGAGCUUCGAAAGGGAAUCGGGUUAAAAUUCUUAAACUGGGACGCGAUGGCUGAUGAAAAUGUUAGGGAGUCUGGAGACAUCGGCAAGGGCCUCGGGAAGAGUUAUCCUUUCUAUUUAAUAGACUGCCCAUCCUAGAAACGGCUUAGCGAGAGGUAGGGUCUAGCGGCUGAAAGAGUACUGCACGUCGUGUGGUCUUCGGUGUGCCCCUCGUGGCCCUUGAAAAUCUAAAGGACCGGGUGCCGUCAGCGCCCAGUCGUACUCAUAACCGCAUCAGGUCUCUACGGUGAACAACCUCUAAUC